RNAcentral lists this ribosomal RNA (207 nucleotides) under uncultured bacterium. RNAcentral's name for it is "partial 16S ribosomal RNA". It matches the Rfam family "Bacterial small subunit ribosomal RNA", at positions 568 to 774 of the family's 1533-position model. The record is from RNAcentral.
UGCGUAGGCGGGUCUUUAAGUCAGGGGUGAAGUCCUGGAGCUCAACUCCAGAACUGCCUUUGAUACUGAAGAUCUUGAGUUCGGGAGAGGUGAGUGGAACUGCGAGUGUAGAGGUGAAAUUCGUAGAUAUUCGCAAGAACACCAGUGGCGAAGGCGGCUCACUGGCCCGAUACUGACGCUGAGGCACGAAAGCGUGGGGAGCAAACA